GAUGAACGCUAGCGCUAGGCUUAACACAUGCAAGUCGAGGGGCAGCGAGGGUAGCAAUACCUGUCGGCGACCGGCGCACGGGUGAGUAACGCGUAUGUAACCUGCCCGCAACAGGGGGAUAACCCGGCGAAAGUCGGACUAAUACCGCAUAAAACAGGGGUCCCGCAUGGGAAUAUUUGUUAAAGAUUUAUCGGUUGCGGAUGGGCAUGCGUACCAUUAGGUAGUUGGUGAGGUAACGGCUCACCAAGCCUUCGAUGGUUAGGGGUUCUGAGAGGAAGGUCCCCCACACUGGUACUGAGACACGGACCAGACGCCUACGGGAGGCAGCAGUGAGGAAUAUUGGUCAAUGGGCGAGAGCCUGAACCAGCCAAGUCGCGUGAAGGAUGACUGCCCUAUGGGUUGUAAACUUCUUUUACAAGGGAAUAAAAUGAGAUACGUGUAUUUUAUUGCAUGUACCUUGGGAAUAAGCAUCGGCUAACUCCGUG
RNAcentral lists this ribosomal RNA (485 nucleotides) under uncultured bacterium. Its description in RNAcentral is "partial 16S ribosomal RNA". It matches the Rfam family "Bacterial small subunit ribosomal RNA", at positions 28 to 507 of the family's 1533-position model. The record is from RNAcentral.